This 253-nucleotide ribosomal RNA is filed under the name uncultured bacterium. Its description in RNAcentral is "partial 16S ribosomal RNA". It matches the Rfam family "Bacterial small subunit ribosomal RNA", at positions 524 to 776 of the family's 1533-position model. The record is from RNAcentral.
UACGUAGGGUGCAAGCGUUGUCCGGAAUUAUUGGGCGUAAAGGGCUCGUAGGCGGUCCGUCACGUCGGGAGUGAAAACUUGGGGCUUAACCCCAAGCCUGCUUCCGAUACGGGCGGACUAGAGGUAGGCAGGGGAGAACGGAAUUCCUGGUGUAGCGGUGAAAUGCGCAGAUAUCAGGAGGAACACCGGUGGCGAAGGCGACUGCCUGGCUUACAACUGACGCUGAGACGCGAAAGCGUGGGGAGCAAACAGG